RNAcentral lists this ribosomal RNA (210 nucleotides) under Triticum aestivum (bread wheat). RNAcentral describes it as "partial small subunit ribosomal RNA". Lineage: Eukaryota; Viridiplantae; Streptophyta; Magnoliopsida; Poales; Poaceae. The record is from RNAcentral.
AUGACGAUCAUGAGCUAGAACUGUCGAGGCCUCGGGCAACUUCGUACAGUUCAAGAACUAGUGUGUCUCAUACACCACAAGCCCAAGCUCAUCUUCCUUACUGAAAAGCGGCAGAAAAACAAGUUUGUCACAAACCUAAAGUGGAGGCUGGGCCUCCAUCACUGUACCAUGCAACCCGGCACUGGAAAAGGUCCCGGCAUUGCUCUCUUC